GAUGAACGCUGGCGGCGUGCCUAAUACAUGCAAGUCGAGCGAACAGACGAGGAGCUUGCUCCUCUGACGUUAGCGGCGGACGGGUGAGUAACACGUGGAUAACCUACCUAUAAGACUGGGAUAACUUCGGGAAACCGGAGCUAAUACCGGAUAAUAUAUUGAACCGCAUGGUUCAAUAGUGAAAGACGGUUUUGCUGUCACUUAUCGAUGGAUCCGCGCCGCAUUAGCUAGUUGGUACGGUAACGGCUUACCAAGGCAACGAUGCGUAGACGACCUGAGAGGGUGAUCGGCCACACUGGAACUGAGACACGGUCCAGACUCCUACGGGAGGCAGCAGUAGGGAAUCUUCCGCAAUGGGCGAGAGCCUGACGGAGUAACGCCGCGUGAGUGAUGAAGGUCUUCGGAUCGUAAAACUCUGUUAUUAGGGAAGAACAAAUGUGUAAGUAACCAUGCACGUCUUGACGGUACCUAAUCAGAAAGCCACGGCUAACUACGUG
This 497-nucleotide ribosomal RNA is filed under the name uncultured bacterium. RNAcentral's name for it is "partial 16S ribosomal RNA". It matches the Rfam family "Bacterial small subunit ribosomal RNA", at positions 28 to 507 of the family's 1533-position model. The record is from RNAcentral.